AUUGAACGCUGGCGGCAUGCUUUACACAUGCAAGUCGAACGGUAACAGGCCGCAAGGUGCUGACGUGUGGCGAACGGGUGUGUAAUGCUUCGGAACGUCCCCAGUCGUGGGGGAUAACUACUCUAAAGAGUAGCUAAUACCGCAUACGAUCUAUGGUUCUAACCGGGGGACCGUAAGGCCUCGCUCGAUUCGACCUGCCGAUGCUAGAUUAGGUAGUUUGGGGGGUAAUGGCUCACCAAGCCAACGUUCUGUAGCUGGUCUGAGAGGAAGACCAGCCACAGUGGGACUGAGAAACGGCCCAGACUCCUACGGGAGGCAGCAGUGGGGAAUUUUGGAGAGUGGGCGCAAGCCUGAUCCAGCAAUGCCGCGUGGAGGAAGAAGGCCUUCGGGUUGUAAACUGCUUUUGUACGGAAAGAAACGGGUCUGGUUAAUACCCGGGGCUAAUGACGGUACCGUAAGAAUAAGCACCGGCUAACUACGUG
RNAcentral lists this ribosomal RNA (482 nucleotides) under uncultured bacterium. Its description in RNAcentral is "partial 16S ribosomal RNA". It matches the Rfam family "Bacterial small subunit ribosomal RNA", at positions 30 to 507 of the family's 1533-position model. The record is from RNAcentral.